UUACAUUUUUUACCCUUGUAGUCUAAAACCCUUUCAUUACGUAUAACCCAUUCCCACGAUCACGAUAAGAUACAGAUUCAAUUCAAUCAUCGUCCACUGCUUGCUUCACCUUGUUGCCGCCUCCGGCUUGCUCCACCGUCGUCGUCACCUCCGGCUUGCUUCAUCGUCUCUGUAGCCUCCGGCUUAUCCCACUGCCGUUGUUCAUCAACUGCUUCAGGCUUGCUUCAUAGGUACGCGCUAAUUUUCAUUACAAAUUGCGAUUUUGUUUCUAAUUUUGACCGUUUCCUUGUAUCAGUGUGUCUCUUAUCUUAUUUGCAAAAGCACUAAGUUGGAAUUGUGAACUAAUCUACAAUCGUUUCUUCUAAAAUCAUGAACUGAUUUUGAUUUGGUUAAUUAUGGAUUCAACUUUCUGAUCGUUCCAGUACAAUUGCAACCUCAAUGCGUCUCUUUUCUAGUUUGAAAAAGCAUGAAUUUGGAACUGUGAACUGAUUUGGAAUCAUUUCCUAUAUAAUCAUGAAUUGAUUUAUAAUUGCUUAAUCAUGAUUCUUUUUUGUGAUUGUCCCUGUACAAUAUCAAUGUUCUAAUUUUUUUUUAUAGUUUCUUGCACAAUUUUGUAUCAGACUUUUGUUAUCAAAUUUUCGAUUAUAUAUCCAGUCUUCAAAUCCAAACAUCAAUGUGAACUGAUUUGGAGUGGUGUUCUAGUUUUUUGAUCGUUUACUGUACAUCUUUAUGGCUUCACAACAAGAUAACGUUUGGUUACAUUUGAGUUCUAUUUGAUACCUUUUUGGUUUCAUUUGAGUUGAAUGUUAUUUAAUUUUAGUGUAUGUGUGAUUAUCUAGCAGAUGGGUUCAAUAGAGUCAAAAAAGAAAGAGAAAGAAAGAGAAAAGAAACAUACAUGGAUAAACAAGUGUUUCCCCAUAGCCUAAUCCACCAGGAAAGUCUCUAGCUAAAGCCAUAAGUAAUUCAACAGUAUCUUUAGCAGCCAAGUCUGCAAAUGAUUUGACUCAGUCCAAUGCUAGUUCUCAAGGCACAUUGCAAUAUAAUGUCACCGGUUCAAAAAAAAAGUUAUAUAUGGUAGACAUAAAUAUAUUUAUAUAGUCUAAGGGGUAAAGUGUAAAAUUUGGUAAAAUAGAGAAAAGGGUAGAAUUGUCUAUUUAUUAAAAUUUGUUGUGUAUUUAUAAAUCUUGUUAUGUACGGAUCAACUCCCUUUUUAAAUACAGUCUCACGUAUCCAUAAUUAAAAAACCCACGGUUUGUUUCAUUCACAUUCCAGAGCAAGAACAACAGAAUAAAGUAAAAAAUAUUGAAGUUGCCAUGCAUUCUUCUCUUUGGUAUGAUUUAACCGUUUUUUCUGAUGAGUUGAAGUAAUCGAUGUAUUCAUCUUCCUCUUUUUACUCUUGGCCUUUUAAUCGGUGCUAUUACACGUAUUAACUGCAUAUUAAUAAAUAAUAACUAAAGAAUGUGACAGAAAAAUCAACACAACUGAAGUAACUAUACUCUAAUUUGGGCAUUAAAACAGGGACACAACUUAAAUAAAUAUACUCUAAUUUUGCUGAUAACAUUGUUUAGUAUAUUCAGUUCGAUUUCAGAUCCAUUAAGUUCAUACCUAACUAACGUCAAAGAAUGAUAGAUAUAUUCUCUUUUCUUUUACAAGAGUCAACAACAUGCUUAUCAAACUUCAUUUGAAUACAAGGGCAGUCUGGUCAUUAUUCAUUACACAGUAAUUUUUUUUCCUCAAUGAAUGAAUAUAUAAAUAGGGAUCAUAAUUGUUAGCAUAUAUAUUUUUUGUUUUAUUCUUAAUAGCAAUUAAUAGCAAUGUCCCAUGUACUAAUAAGAUUGUCACAUUGAACCUUUGUAGGAGCUGCAUAAAUUUGUGACAUCAGGUACAAAUACAGUUCAUUAUUAUCAUCCUACUUUUAAAAAAAAUGACUUUUUGGUUUCUUAAUUUUUUAAUUUCAGUUACAAAUUUCCUACUUUAAAUCAACAUAAUUGUUUUCAUUUUUCCUUUUUUUUUUUAAUUCUAACACAAUAUGUUUUAUUUAUUAGGGACCAUAUAUCAAUAUUUAUUUUAACUCUCAAAUGAUACAAAAUAUUAGUUUUUUUUUUACAAAAUCAAUAACAGAGGCAUAAUGGUCAUUUAUGUUUGUGUUUAUAUGUAUCUGUUUGUGUAUGUAUAUGUAUUGUUUGUGCGUGUAUAUGUAUCUGUUUUCAUUUUUCUUUUUUUCUUUUUUUGUUUUUUUUUUUUAAAUUCUAACAGAAUAUAAUAGUGUUAAAUACACAGGGGCAUAAUGGUAAUGUGAAAGUUACAAACAAUUGUAAUAUGCAUGAAUCAAAGUACAUUGUUCUUUAUUGGUCAUGAAUCAAAGUACAUUGUUAUUUACUGUAUUAGUUUAUUGCAGCCUAUUGUAACUAAAUGGUAUAUGUGUAAUUCCAUAAACGCCCUUCUUCGUAACAUAGUUUUAUUGAUCUUAUAUUGAUCUAUUGCAUUAUAGUACAAUAAAAAUCUUAUUUUUUUAUAUAGGGACCAUAUAAGGAUGUUUUAUUUAUCAGUGAUCAUAUAUUAAUAUUUUGUUUCACUGGAAUGAUAUACAAUAUUAGCUUUUUUAUAUUUUUUAUUUUUACAAAACCACUAGCAGGGGCAUAAUGGUCAUUGAUGUUUGCGUGUAAAUGUAUCUGUUUGUGUGUGUAUAUGUAUCUGUUUUUGUGUGUAUAUGUAUCACUUUGCCACGUGACAUUCUCUUAGCCCCCCUAAUCAAAAUUUCACGCUUCUUAUACGAGAAUGAGUGUUGUUGUUGACAAAUAAACCAAUUAUUAUGUCAAAU
This 2821-nucleotide long non-coding RNA is filed under the name Lactuca sativa (garden lettuce). Its description in RNAcentral is "long non-coding RNA (LSAT_LNC002096)". Lineage: Eukaryota; Viridiplantae; Streptophyta; Magnoliopsida; Asterales; Asteraceae. The record is from RNAcentral.